Molecule: unclassified non-coding RNA, 270 nt
Filed under: Hevea brasiliensis (rubber tree)
Lineage: Eukaryota; Viridiplantae; Streptophyta; Magnoliopsida; Malpighiales; Euphorbiaceae
Source: RNAcentral
ACGCACACGGUAAUGGUUGUACUCGUAUAGGUAUGCAUGCUUUCACAAUGUUCAGCAACUAUCUGAUUUUUCUGUGAGCAAUUCUUUUCUCUUUUUCUGAGUUGCCUGGUCCUAGUAGAAAUUUUGAUCAACUAUAAUAUUGUGACUAAGUAUUGCAAGCUUUGAAUAAAAAACUGUAAUAAGUGGUUGAAAUAUAUGAGAUUCAAUUGCCUGCUAGCUUUUCUUUUUUUUUUUAAUUCUCUGCACAGAUUACAGAUACGCUGGAGCAAA